RNAcentral lists this ribosomal RNA (497 nucleotides) under uncultured bacterium. RNAcentral's name for it is "partial 16S ribosomal RNA". It matches the Rfam family "Bacterial small subunit ribosomal RNA", at positions 28 to 507 of the family's 1533-position model. The record is from RNAcentral.
GAUGAACGCUGGCGGCGUGCCUAAUACAUGCAAGUCGAGCGAACAGACCAGGAGCUUGCUCCUCCGACGUUAGCGGCGGACGGGUGAGUAACACGUGGAUAACCUACCUACAAGACUGGGAUAACUUCGGGAAACCGGAGCUACUACCGGAUAAUAUAUUGAACCGCAUGGUUCAAUCGUGAAAUACGGUUUUUCUUUCACUUAUAGACGGAUCCGCGCCGCAUUAGCUAGUUGGUAAGGUAACGGCUUACCAAGGCAACGAUGCUUAGCCGACCUGAGAGGGUGAUCGGCCACACGGGAACUGAGACACGGUCCAGACACCUACGGGGGGCAGCAGUAGAGAAUCUUACGCAAUGGGCGAAAGCCUGACGGAGCAACGCGGCGGGAGUGAUGAAGGUCUUCGGAUCGUAAAACUCUGUUAUUAGGGAAGAACAAAUGUGUAAGUAACUAUGCACGUCUUGACGGUACCUAAUCAGAAAGCCACGGCUAACUACGUG